Molecule: long non-coding RNA, 1787 nt
Organism: Poecilia reticulata (guppy)
Lineage: Eukaryota; Metazoa; Chordata; Actinopteri; Cyprinodontiformes; Poeciliidae
Source: RefSeq, a predicted model, not a curated record
GAAACGCGGAUUGACGUAACACCGGUAUGCAUUAUGUACAGUAAUUGCGUUGACUCCCGAUUGUACAAUGGCUGGUUGAGAAUAAUUUUAACUUAUUUACUUAUGUAUUUUUGAGAAAGCGUUAUAUUGCUACAAUAUUUUUUACAUUUAUUUCCACAAACACUCCACAGAAUGGGAGUUACAUUUGUGUCAAUCAGAACUCUUCGGGAACGUUUUGAUGUCCGUGAUGAGGACAGAGAUGCAACUGUGUCUGCAUCAAGGACCUACUGCCAGUCAACCAGAUGUUGGUCAAGAAAGAAGCAGCUGAUAGAAGAAGGCAGAGAGUUAUGGCAGCAGAGGAGGUGGCAUUCUGGGAGGAUGGCAGCUAUGAGGGGGUGUCAGGAUGGACUUUGGUGAGGUUGGGAGACCAAGUUCCCCCAAUCAGGAGGUCAAUGACAUCAGGAUUACACUACAGGAGAGACGUCGGGUCUACGCUACAGGAGAGACGCCAGGUCUACGCUACAGGAGCGAUAUGGGCCUGUCCUGAACGCAGCAUAAUGUUGGAUUAUGUUUGGACAAAAAAACACCACCAGAUGGUCCAGAAAUGUACACGCAUUUAUGUCUUAUUUUGUGUGCAAACAGUAAAAAAUAAAUAAAAUGAAAAAGAAAAAAAAACUUCUGUGCCUCAUUUAUGUUCCUUAUAUGUGAACAUAUUGCAUUUAAGCAAUAUCAAAUGAAUAUAUUUUAAUGCAGCAUUAAUUUUUUUUAUAUAGAUUUUUUUAAAUACAGCAUUAAAAAUAAUAAUUGGGGCGGGGUUCAUUUAUAAAGACAUAAGUGCUCUCCGCAUUUGCAUAUGCUAGGCUAUUCGUAUGCUAAGUAGAGUUGUUAAUACCUCCCGCCAGCCCGCUCCCUCGCACCUCCACCCCCCCCUCCUGAGAUUCCUCAGUCGACAGAUUUCGACUCCGGUGAGUGAAAAUGCAAACUGUUGAUUGCUGUCGGUAUCUGUCGCUCACCAGCUACAUUAGCGUCAGAAUACAGGGUCAAAAAUCCCACUUUUCAUGCAGUGUUUUCCUGCAGCAGCUCAAUCGGAUCAGUGUGUUGAUGAGAUCUGAAAGGUUCUGAUCCUCCAGUAAGUAAAAUAACACCAGACCCAAUCCAUCAGUAAAUAUAAAAUUUUAUUUAUACACAUAUAAAUUCAAUAAAUUAGAAUUGAAAGCCAAUUCAUUUCACUUAAUUAUAUUCACUUAGUGAAUAAAGUAAAAGGCAAAUCAGAAUAUCUCACAAACUAUAAAUAUCAGUCAGCAACGUGACUUAAGAAUUUGAUUGGAACCUGUUGGGCAAAACAGAUCCUAUAAGAACCACCCAGAGAUAAUUUUUAUGGAAUAAAGACUCAAACUGUGCAGUGCCACUAAAAAUCCACAGACUCAGCUCCCAACAGCUAACUCAGCAUAUGAGGAGGGCAGAGUACCAGACAUAUAAAACGUAAUCUGAAAUGAUUUAUAAUUACUCCAUGUCUUAUUAUAAUCAGAGAGCAAAGCUUGCAGGUUUAACUUCUACUUACUUCAGAGGACAGACCACAGGGAUGCUCCGUCUCACUUCUUGGUUUGCCUGCCUAUUUUUCCGGCCAGCGAACCAUUCUGUUACCCAGUGGUCGUUUUUCAGACCACUUAGUCGCCUGUAGUGCUCAGAAAUGCACAAUAUGUCUAUAAACAAUUCUGGAAUAUUAUAAGGAAGUGCUGAGAUAUCACAGGAAGAAAAAUGCGAUUUUUGUCAGCUAUUGACACCUUGUUCUGCCGUGCGCAUGGAGA